RNAcentral lists this unclassified non-coding RNA (342 nucleotides) under soil metagenome. Its description in RNAcentral is "partial contains 5.8S ribosomal RNA, internal transcribed spacer 2, and large subunit ribosomal RNA". The stretch from base 1 to 120 matches the Rfam family "5.8S ribosomal RNA", at positions 35 to 154 of the family's 154-position model. The record is from RNAcentral.
GAUGAAGAACGUAGCGAAAUGCGAUAAGUAAUGUGAAUUGCAGAAUCCAGUGAAUCAUCGAAUCUCUGAACGCACAUUGCGCCCGCCAGCAUUCUGGCGGGCAUGCCUGUUCGAGCGUCAUUUCAACCCUCGACCUCCCUUUGGGGAAGUCGGCGUUGGGGACCGGCAGCACACCGCCGGCCCUGAAAUGGAGUGGCGGCCCGUCCGCGGCGACCUCUGCGUAGUAAACCAACUCGCACCGGAACCCCGACGUGGCCACGCCGUAAAACACCCAACUUCUGAACGUUGACCUCGAAUCAGGUAGGACUACCCGCUGAACUUAAGCAUAUCAUAAGCGGAGGA